Molecule: long non-coding RNA, 270 nt
Filed under: Canis lupus familiaris (dog)
Lineage: Eukaryota; Metazoa; Chordata; Mammalia; Carnivora; Canidae
Description: lncRNA (ENSCAFG00000054516.1)
Source: RNAcentral
UUAAUAGCCUACCUGAUGCGGAGUAUUAACGGCAGAAGGAGGAUGGAGUUUGGGAUGAGACAACCCAAGGAUUUCCUGGAGAAGCCGAGCAGUGACAUAAUAUACUUCAACUCUCACCAGAAACCUUUAGGAGCAUUAUUUUCAGGAUAUAGCCUGGGCCUGGAAUACAUCACAGAUCAUCCUACUGAUCCCACUAAUCCUCCAAGGCUCAGACGCCUUCCCCAAACCUUUUUCCGAUCCCUUGAAUAAGUGCAAUUUCCUCUAAUAUUA